This is a long non-coding RNA of Microtus ochrogaster (prairie vole), 4032 nucleotides long. RefSeq lists it as uncharacterized. The record is from RefSeq and is a predicted model, not a curated record. Lineage: Eukaryota; Metazoa; Chordata; Mammalia; Rodentia; Cricetidae. The transcript is spliced from 3 exons.
AUAAAAAGAAGCUCCAAGGUAGGUCUCCUAGCAUUCUCCAAAGACCCAGGCCCUAAGAACCUGGAAAUUGAUUCUCUUGUCGAGUACCGACCUGAAGAAUGAUGAUAUCAAGGCAGAAAUUGUUUGUGUCAUGCUUAUAUUCAAAUGAGUUUUUUUUUUCAGAUGCGAUAGGCGGGUGCGUUCCUCCAGCAGGUAUAGAAAGAACUCUACUGCCGUCGUGCGGAAAUGGGUUCUGUACCAUAUAGCCCAUUGAAAUUCCUUUUCAUGAGACCUGGAGAUGGGGAAGAAUUAGAAAAGUAGAGAAUUUUAAGAAACUCUAAGUUGGAACUACUUGCAUUUUCCAAAGACCCAGGCCCUAAGAACCUGGAAAUUGAUUCUGUUCUUAAGAACCACCACCUAAAGAAGGAGGUACUUAGAGGGAACCCUUGCUGUCUAGCAGAAAACAAGAAAAUAAAUCCCACAGGGAAGUUCUUGCAUUAAAUUAACGGAACCAGAACCAAGGGAUUCGUUGAUUCUGUGGCCCAAGUACAUCUGAGUCCUGUUUCUCGAACUUUCCUCGCUUUGCAGUACGACAGUUUUGCGAUUUUCGGCAUGUCUUACGGCUCUAUGUUUGUGCUGUAAGGCUUCCUGGGCAUCUUGGGAUGUUACCUUGGGAGAAGGCAAUCCCUAGAUUUUGGCCACACCCACAACUCCAUCCGCAUGGAAGCUCAGCUUGCUAGAGGUCUAUGUCUUUGGGAGUCUUCUCACAUCUAAAUGCCCACUGAUUUGCGUUUUGAAUUUCUUUAGCUACAUUUUGAUCAUAACAUUUGCUUCUAUCCUAGAAUGCCACUCUAAGAGGAAUUUAGAGUGGACCCUCGCGGGCUGGAAGUCCUAAUGUAUGACCAUUAGGUGGUACCUGUGUGAACAAGAUCUGGUGGAAAUACUCAGAUAAGUACACAUUUUUAAGAAUUCUUGCUUCCUGCUCCUACUCCUGCCCCUUGCGCCAAGAGUUAAAAGGUCUUUAUGUAAUGUAAUUAUAUCUGAAAAAUCCAAGGGGAACCAUUACAACACGGUUUGGGGUCUCAAAUAUACCCAGAGGUCUGGAGCCUGGUUAUGUCUUCUAGCAGAGUAGAUGUGUCUGAAAACCAGUACCAAAAGCCAGAUGGUAAUCUCAGCACUCUGUGGUUUAAAGAAUUGUGACUUCACAUCCCUCGUCAUGAUAGAGGAGUAGAGAAACAAAGUCUAUUUAGAAUGGCAUCAAAAUGAAUAAUGUAUGUUGUUCAUCUGGAAAUGGGAAGAAAACAUUCAUAUAAAUAAAAUAUAUGUGUAUAAGGAAAAGAUUAUGAUACAUGGUACAUGAUGUUUGAAAUUGGUAUUUCUUCUCACUGGGCUUUGCUUACUGCAUACUUUACUAUUUUCUUAAGAGUCUUAAGAAGUUUCCACCAUGGAAAAAUAUAUUAUUGAUAUGAAUAUAUGCCAGCUGUGUAAGGUACUGAUGAAGACUAAAGUGACUAUUGCGUGCAGUUAGUUUUAAUAAGAAAUGUGUAUAGAUGUAUGCAUCUGUAUGCAUGUUCACAUUUUUCAAGCUGUGUUUUUCUAUUUAAAUAAUAUUUUUCAUUUAUUUUACAUACCAACCACAGUAUCCCCUCCCUGUUCUCAUCUAAGGCCCCUUUUUUUCUCUCCUCCAUCUCCAUUCAGAAAGGGCCAGGCCUCCCGUGGACUUUAGCAAAGCAUGGGACAUCAAGUUGAGGCAGGACCAAGCUCUCCCCUUGCAUCAAGGCUGGGCAAGCCCUGCAUUCAGAAGACAAUGAGAUAUCAUGAGACAGCUCUGGAGAGAGAAUGCUGCUGGCUAAAGAAGGGGGUGAAUGAAGCAGCUCUUGAUUUCUUUAAAACAGUAAGGCACCUGAUGGAGACAAGAAGGGCGGGAGUCAAGUGCCUACUUGCUCUUGCAUGGACCUCUACUGCCAUCAUCCGGAUGGAGUUUCAAAUAUCACUGCGCCCGCGAGUUUUCUUCCCAUAAUUCUUAGCCAUGGCGGAAGAUGGCAACAGCAGACAUCUGUGGGUCCCCCGCAUGGGCCUCAGUGACUUCUCAGGCCCCAAGACAAAUAGACUUCGUUUUUCUCACCAGAACCUGGAGAAGGAAGCACCUUCCAGCACUAGGACACGAGCUAAUAGAUUCCUAUUGCAAGGGGAGUGCAAACCCCGCCCCUCCACGUCCUAUUCCUGGGCUACAGGACAGCUAUGCACUAACAACUGGGCCCUCAGUCUCUAGGGUCUGCAUUAAGACUCUGAAGGAUCCCAUGACUCCAGUCUGCCUUCACGAAAAGAGCAAUAGAAAAUGGAAAGACGGUCAAGCACAUCCAUUUGAAAAUCACCCUAACCCUCACCGGCAAAAAAAAAAAAAAAAAACGCCAGCAUUGACAAAAGCGGUCUAUACAUGCCUAAGGAUAUAUGAAACAACUCCCACAAGAUGGCGCAGUCGCCCCAUUGCAAAAAAAAGGCACCAUACAUAUGCCCUCUCUACUCCCGCCUUUCCAGUCUGAAAAAAACCUACAAUACAGAGCCAGAGUCCAGCAACUGUGGCAGCCCUGCCUUCUUCCUUCAGAGGGAGUAAAAUUGAUUUACUGAAGGCUUGGCUUCCAUUUUAAUUUUAUCUGAGUGCCACAGCUAAUAGAUCUGUUCCCUCAUCAGAAUCCACCAUUAAAACACAAAAACGCAUGGAAACUGAUGGAAGCAGGAGGAAAAGGGAAGGAGAUGGAGAGCUGAGGCGCCCACCUUCUCAGGCCAUGGCAUUGGAGUGACACAUACAUUAAAAGGACGAUAAAUUCCAGUCAGAGAGAUCAGAGAUUUGUGUCUAUAAACCUGUUCUAUAAAUAAAAUUAAAUAUUUCAUCAUGGGAAGGGUCCCAUGAUUUCAGUCUGUGCACACAGGGGAAAAAAAGUGGUAGGAGCCAGGCUUGGUCAUUUAAGAAUCCCCCUGACCCUCACCUUCAACAUGGCGAGAAGCCAUAUUGAGGAAGCAGUGUGUAUGCAGGUCUUUAUGAAAUGUUUUCCACAUGAUGGCAGUGAUGCCCCAGAGGAGCAAGAAAACCUCACUGCAGCUCUCUGCUCCCACCUUUCUGGUCAGGGAAAAAAAAAAACAAACUCCACUAUAAAGGCAGAGUGCAGCAGCAGUCCUGCCUUCUUUCUUCAAAGUGAUUUCUCUUAGACUUCAGCCUCUAUGAGCAUUUUCUACUGAUGCCACAUCUAGUGGAUGAGGACCUACACUAGCACCAAAGGAGGGAAGAAAAAAAUAAAGCAGAGACCGGAACUGCAAUCUGGGGCACCACCUUCUUCAUGCAUCUCCUCUUUUAAAGAAGAGUGCAGUCAAUGAUGGAGUCCUGCGUUUCUCCGCUCUUCACCCAGCAGACUUCUAGCUCCAGGCGUUUCUUAUGAUACUUGAUUCUGUUGUGGUCCUGGGGGCAAAUCUCAGCAUCCAGUUGGAGGUGGGAAGUGAAAGUGUUGCUAACUCAGUGCAUGGAGUAGAGAAAAAUUAGGCAUCAGGGAACUUGCUUCGUAGCCCAACUCACUUGUUCAUGCUCCAUAUUGUGAUGGAUGCAAUAGGCCUUGUGUGCGGUCUGUGAAGAGAAGUGGGUACUGCGAAGGAAGGAAUGUUCAAGAAUCCCAAGCAUUUUCAGGAAUGCACCAGCUGUGGUCAAAAGAAAUACCUUAAUGCUCUUCUCCUACCCUUCCUACAUGAAAACAUCACCAGAGAAAAGGUACCAGGAAACACAACCAUUUCGCUUUUUGGUGGUAACUGUUGAAGGGUCUUAUCUUUUUUUUUUUCCACCUGAAACCAAACUGUGUCCUAAAUCUACCACUUUCAAAAGAGCAUUCAUGUCUCAGAAAUCAAGCGCCCUUGCUUUCUCUAGAGAGCACUUUCCACUGAUCUGGACAUUUCUUCUCAGCACUCAUGUCGCUUAUUUGGCCACAGCAUCAAAUCUCAAGAGACAAAAGAGAUAUUCCACAUAAAGAGGGAGAAGAAUGCCAGGCGGUGGUGGCGCACACCUUUAAU